GACGAACGCUGGCGGCGUGCUUAACACAUGCAAGUCGAACGAAGAGCGAUGGAAGCUUGCUUCUAUCACUCUUAGUGGCGAACGGGUGAGUAACGCGUAAUCAACCUGCCCUUCAGAGGGGGACAACAGUUGGAAACGACUGCUAAUACCGCAUACGAUCUAAUCUCGGCAUCGAGGAUAGAUGAAAGGUGGCCUCUACAUGUAAGCUAUCACUGAAGGAGGGGAUUGCGUCUGAUUAGCUAGUUGGAGGGGUAACGGCCCACCAAGGCGAUGAUCAGUAGCCGGUCUGAGAGGAUGAACGGCCACAUUGGGACUGAGACACGGCCCAGACUCCUACGGGAGGCAGCAGUGGGGAAUCUUCCGCAAUGGACGAAAGUCUGACGGAGCAACGCCGCGUGAGGGAUGACGGCCGUCGGGUUGUAAAGCUCUGUUAAUCGGGACGAAAGGCCUUCUUGCGAAUAGUGAGAAGGAUUGACGGUACCGGAAUAGAAAGCCACGGCUAACUACGUG
Molecule: ribosomal RNA, 510 nt
Filed under: uncultured bacterium
Lineage: Bacteria
Description: partial 16S ribosomal RNA
Rfam family: Bacterial small subunit ribosomal RNA
Source: RNAcentral